Arabidopsis lyrata subsp. lyrata is the source of this 337-nucleotide long non-coding RNA. RefSeq lists it as uncharacterized. The record is from RefSeq and is a predicted model, not a curated record. NCBI's taxonomy places the organism in Eukaryota, Viridiplantae, Streptophyta, Magnoliopsida, Brassicales, Brassicaceae. The transcript has 3 exons.
AUCAUUCACCACAUCCGCAGAAUCCGACAAAACAAUCUCUUUCUCCAUCAACUUAGCUUCCUCGCUCACCUUGUUCUCCAAUGGCUGCAUCAGCAAAACAGUGGAAGAAUACAAUACAACCUAACUAUAAUAUUUGUGUGUUUAUACAUACACAUACAAGUAUAUUCGACUCUGCCUCAGUGAAAGCAUAUGUAUCUUACAAGUAUGAUGAAGAAAUAUAUCUAUCAACCUCAAAAGCAUAAAGGUGUAAUAACAGUUGGAGAGUGAGAAUCAGAAGCCAUGGAAGAAGAUUCACAAGGCAGGAGAAGAAGGAGAAAAAGUAAUGGACAGGGUUCAA